RNAcentral lists this transfer RNA (58 nucleotides) under Bakuella subtropica. RNAcentral's name for it is "tRNA-Trp". The record is from RNAcentral. Lineage: Eukaryota; Ciliophora; Spirotrichea; Urostylida; Bakuellidae.
UUUUUUAUUGCAAAAAAGCCCCAAACUCUUUCUCAAACAAGUCUACUUUUAAAAAAUC